This 1848-nucleotide long non-coding RNA is filed under the name Homo sapiens (human). RNAcentral describes it as "HSALNT0308476". Lineage: Eukaryota; Metazoa; Chordata; Mammalia; Primates; Hominidae. The record is from RNAcentral.
AGUGACAGCAGCUUGUUAAGGCUAAUGAACGGCUGAAUUUCCUCUGCCGGGAUCCAAAGCAGGAUUUGCCAGCUUGAGGCUGAGAUGUAACAGUCUCUGCUUUAGCAAAAGAGGUUUGGCUUUUGGUAUAAGGAGCCGAGUGGCAAGGCGGAUCCUUUAACUGUACCAUUGUUGCUAGUUCACUUCUGGUCAGAGGCUGUGAGUUUUCCUCCAGGUAUUGGCGUCUGGUGUCUCUGUGUCCACACAUGCAUUCUUGUCCAAGGACGCUAGCAGAUGCUUGACUCUGUCUCUCUGUAAACACAUACACAGUUCACAUAUUUUUAGAAUAAAGUCUUUCUUCAAUGCAUCCUUUUCCUUAUCCUUAACGAGAGUGUGUCUCAUGAAGGGUCUCACUGGAUCUUUUUCUUCCUUUUAUUUCCAAUGCUAAUUAAACCAAAAUCUUCUGAAAUAGCCUUCAUUUCACACUGUCAGCCCACUGGCCUGGGCUGCCAGGUGCUAUAUCAGCCAGGAAAACAAAGCAAACUGUAGGGUCUGUCCAUCCGUAGGUUUGCCUCAGUCCCCAAUUCGCAGAUAGCCUUGUCAUGAAUUAGAAUUUCUUGGCAACAGCACCACCCAGGGAAAUUUGUAGACACAAAGGAGCCUUGCUAGCCACACUGAAAGGAUAAAAUAACUGUUUUUUUUUGGUAUGUGAUUUGUGUGUUCUUCAGUUACUGUAAAUCUGUUUCUUUAUUUGAAACAGCAACUUGGUAGAUGAAAUAAAAAUAUAACUGCCCGUUACCCAGAAUUUAUCUUUAUGAAGAUGCAAUCACUAAAUAGAUGUAACUCUACAAAUGAAAGCACAUGUGACUGCAAUCAAUCACACACUUAGCCUUUAAUAGAUUCAUUUCCAUGUUCCUUUAACAGACACAUCUUUGUGUAGAUUUAGGGGCUUCAAACAUUAUCAUUCAGUCUACCUGUUUGCAGUUUGGUAUUUUAAAGUGGGCAAACAUUAUAAUGCAGUUAUUUUUUACUACAUCUGUCCUUAGUAGGGGGAAAAGGAGGUCACUAUUCUUUGUUCUCCAUGAACUUCCCACCCCCACUCCUUACCCUGAGGAGAAUGGGAUGUUGGGGUCCCAUCCAUUUAAAAGGCAGAGCAGAAGAUGCAAGAUGACAGCCUUGCCCUGAAAUGAUUUAUGUAUGGGUGUGUCAGAGACCUUAAGCAUCCAAAUGUGGGCUGCUUCUUUCUGCCAGCCCAUUCUAAACAUAAAUGCCAGUGGGGGCUAAUUUGCCUCUCUACUUAAAUGGAGAUAGUUCAGAGAGGGUCCUAAUGGGGCCUUUAAUAGCCAUUCUUUUAUGAAUCUUCACAUUGUACUCUCUUCAGAGAAUUCUUGCGUUUUAACUUUUGGAGUACAAGAAGACAUUGCAAUCUUCUUUAAUUGCUCUCUGUGCCUGUUGAGGAAAGAAGAAUACAAUUUCCUCUGGCCAGUCCCAUCUGGCUCAAGUUGAUAGGAUAGCUGGUCUGAUUCCAGACGGGGUCGGUGGAUACCCCUUAUCUUUUCAUUUUAUAGUAUUGUGCAAUGGGCUUUUAAUUAUCUUUGCUGGACCCCACGACUGGCAAAUGCAGAAAAUCGCUCUGUGAUUCCAGUUCACUCGAUAUAUCAGUUAGCCUAUGUGUUAGAACUGCGAUUUGCUGAAAGUUUAGGACAGCUCCCCAACUUAACUUGAAUGGUGCCAGAGGAUAUUUCCCUGGGUUUCAGGCCCUCAUUUUUUUCUAACCAGAAAUAAGCAACAAGCAAGAUGGGCUUUGGGGUUGUUCUACCAUCACUUCAGCUGAAUAUGUCCUAAACCCCUAACUCAUCAACUUCUUCC